Molecule: long non-coding RNA, 4933 nt
Organism: Mercenaria mercenaria
Lineage: Eukaryota; Metazoa; Mollusca; Bivalvia; Venerida; Veneridae
Exons: 13
Source: RefSeq, a predicted model, not a curated record
UUUGAUUUAUACUACACUGAAACACAACAAAAACUUUUGGUCAAUUUGUCACAUGAUAGGUGCAGAAUUAGUUCGCAUAAAGUUACUUCCCUUAGAUUGAACUUUGCCAUUUGUAAGGGAAAAAAACGCGGAUCUUUCAACAGAUGAUGUUUAUCAAUUUUGUUCGGUACCAGUUUAACAGAACAGUGAACGGCCACUACGGUUAAAUGCUUGAUGACAAGUUAUUUUACCAUCCGACCAGUUCAAUGCAGAGGAUGAAAUUGUUGACGGUCUGGUACUACACCAGGAUUUGGAUCUACGGCAUUUGGACAGGCAACACAUACAGCUGGAGGAGGGUUAUUUGGGCAGGGUUUGAUGGGGACCGGCACAAGGACUUGUCUCUUUGGUGGAAGUGGAAGGUCAGCUUUUGGGACACAGUCAUCAGGAUUUAAUUUCGGUGCAACCCCUAGCAGUACAGGUGGACUGUUUGGACAGGGGACUACAGCCAACACUGGCCUGUUUGGCACACCAGCUGCAGCUAGCACCAGUAAUUUAUUUGGAUUCAGUAGUGCAGCAGGUGGAUUUAGAACUACAACAAUAAAAAGCAGCACUCAUUGGAGGUCUGUUUGGAACGACAAAUAGUGCAGACACCGGGCUCUUUGGGGCAAGUCCAGCAUUUUCUCAGCAGCCCCAGACUGGCACAGCUGUCAAAUUUAAUCCACACCAGGGUCAGGAUAUGAUGGUAAAGAAUGGUGUAACACAGAAUAUCAAUACAAAACAUCAGUGUAUCACUGCAAUGAAAGUACGAUGGGGAAAAGUCUGGAGAAACAAUAUAUUAUCGUGCAUGAACCACUAGUUGUCAUUAACAGCACGAGAGUCAUCUGGCAUGGGGGGUACCAGAUGGGUUUUGCCGGCAUGGGUAAAAUCACCGGAAACGCCAGUCCGAUGUGCAAGAAAGCCUUGUUGCUACCAGUUACUCAAAAUAUAGACGUCUUCUCCAGAAAAACUUCAGGGCUUGGAUUUGGAACCCCUGCGGCAUCAGCCACACAAACCAAUGGGCUUUACACAGGCCAAGUCAUCAGGGUUUAGAGCAUGAUUUAUCAAUGUAACAAGAAAUAUGGUAAGGCUUGGCUGAUGGUGAAAAUGGAGGCCACAUUAAUCAAUAGAUGACCGGGUAAGCGUCCCAGAAUGCGAAAGUUUUGGUCAGGGAAAAUUGGAGUUUGGUCAGUGAAAAGUCAGGGAAAAGUCAGGGAAUUUUAUUUUCUCUGCUUUGUGGGAACCCUGUACUACACAGAGUGGGUUUGGAUUUGGAACCCAGACGAGCACAGGAACUGGUGGUCUUUUUGGUCAAGCUACACAAAACAAGUCUCUGUUUAGAGCCACAACAAUUGACAUAGCCAAGCCUGUUUGGAACAGGAGUAAACACAUUUGAGCAGACUGCUGCCAGCUCUGGUUUUGACGGUUUUGGAACAUCGCAAGGUGGUGGAUUGUUUGCAAGCAAACCUGUGUUUUGAGCCCAGACAACCUCAGCUGAUUUUGGGUCAUUCAGUAGUGCAGCUUCUGAUCUUGGCAGUACAGUUCCCAAACUAUUGGACGAUAAGUUCAUCUUUCGUAUUUCUACUUUUCAUAUAUUAAAUAUAUAUGACUGAAGGCUACUGACUUUUAACCACUUGCCCUUCACCAUCCUGGACUCGGAACCCCUCGAUGGAUUGUAGAAUUUCCUGUUAGAAGUCUGGAUGGCUAACAGAAUAAUGAUGGUUCUGUCAAUAUACUAAACCAGGUGAUCACCAAGGUAACCAUGCCUGAAAAACUGCUGGGAAGGGUCCCCUUUUGCUUUUCUUACUGCUAUUAAAAUCUCUAAUGCCACCAUAUAACCUUAUCAAAGAAAAAAUAUAUAAUGAUGACAUAAGAUAGUUGAAUCCAACAUAAUUAUCAUUUAAAACUGAUAUAUAUGUACUGGAUGCAAAGCAUCUAUUCCUAGAUACCUUCCGCAGUUGUAAUGUAAAUUAAAACAAAUUGUUUAUAGGCGAUACUAUAGAUAUGGCAAUUUAAACCUGGUUUGACAUACAGAGUACAAUUAUUUUUUGAAUGACUGCUUAGUUUUUAGCUCACAUGUCACAAAGUGACAAGGUGAGCUUUUGUUAUCGCGCAGUGUCCGUUGUCCGUGCGUAAACUUUUGCUUGUGACCACUCUAGAGGUCACAUUUUUCAUGGGAUCUCUAGAGGCCAUACUUUUCAGUGGAUCUUCAUGAAAGUUAGUCAGAAUGUUUACCUUGAUGAUAUCUAGGUCAGGUUCAAAACUGGGUCACGUGUCGUCAAAAACUAGGUCAGUAGGUCAAACAAUAAAAAAAACUUGUGACCUCUCUAGAGGCAAUAUUUUUCAAAAGAUCUGUAUGAAAGUUGGUCUGAAUGUUCAUCUUGAUUAUAUCUAGAUCAAAUUUGAAACUGGGUCAACUGCGGUCAAAAACUAGGUCAGUAGGUCUAAAAAUAGAAAAACCUUCUGACCUCUCUAGAGGCCAUAUUUUUGAAUGGAUCUUCAUGAAAAUUGGUCAGAAUGUUCACCUUGAUGAUAUCUAGGUCAGAUUCGAAACUGGGUCACAUGCCAUCAGUAACUAGGUCAGUAGGUCAAAUAUUAAAAAAAAAACUUCUGACCUCUCUAGAGGCCAUAUUUUUCAUGGGAUCUGUAUGAGAAUUGGUCUGAUUGUUCAUCUUGGUGAUGUCUAGAUCAAGUUUGAAACUGGGUCAACUGCGGUCAAAAACUAGGUCAGUAGGUCUAAAAAUAGAAAAACCGUGUGACCUCUCUAGAGGCCAUACUUUUGAAUGGAUCUUCAUGAAAGUUGGUCAGAAUGUUCACCUUGAUGAUAUCUAAGUUCGAAACUGGGUCACAUGCCUUCAGAAACUAGGUCAGUAGGUCUAAAAAUAGAAAAACCUUGUGACCUUUCUAGAGGGCAUACUUUUGAAUGGAUCUUCAUGAAAAUUGGUCUGAAUGUUCACCGUGAUGAUAUCUAGGUCAAAUUCGAAACUGGGUCACGUGCCAUCAAUAACUAGCUCAGUAGGUCAAAUAAUAAAAAAUCUUGUGACCUCUCUAGAGGCCAUAUUUUUCAAUGGAUCUUCAUGAAAAUUGGUCAGAAUGUAUCUUGAUGAUAUCUAGGUCAGGUUCAAAACUGGGUCACAUGAGCUCAAAAACUAGGUCACUAUGUCAAAUAAUAGAAAAAAUGAUGUCAUACUCAGUUCAAAACUGGGUCAUGUGGGGACAGGUGAGCGAUUCAGGACCAUCAUGGGUCUCUUGUUUGUAUUGAUCAUACAUUUAUAUUUAGUCACAUUUCAAUGUAUUUCUAGGAGCAUGAACUUGUAUUCACUUCUUCACUGAGUGACAAACGAGUGACGUGAAUUAUGUUCAUCAGACAUUUAUGUUGAAGUAACAAACAAAAACAUAAAUAUUUUAUGCCUCCAAACAGAUAGGUUAAAGUCAUUGACUUCAAAUGACUUGCUUCUGACAUCUUUUGGACAGAGUCCUGCUCUGGUCAUCAUGACUUCUUAUAUGACACCAGUACUGGUUUUUCCAGGAAGUGGACUCAAGAGUGGUUACAAUAAGCUUGAAGCUUUCAUUACAAUUGAGCUAAAACAAAUUAGUAUAAACUAAACUAAGGAAAUCAUCGAGUUGGCUUGCUGGAGCCUGAUGGUUUCACCCAUGUGUCCACUUAUGCAUAAAUAGUGCCUUGACAUGCUCCCUUUUCUUCCUACAUUUACGCUGUCGAAACUUGAAAGUUGCUGUAUGACCUGAAAAGAAGUCAACAGAUAUAUGUCAUAACAUACAUGUAAUUACAAUUAAAUUUCCACAGGACAGCAAAUCAAGCUGCAGUCAACCAGACAGCUCAGCUACAGCAGACAGUGCUAGCACUUACACAUUCUCUUUACGGUGAUUAUCCACUUUUCUGGAACAUUAAAGAGAGUCCAAACGGUAAGAUGUUCUGAAACCCACAAACCUGGUGGCACAGAAAGCCAUUCUGACUAAUCAACAAAAUGAGUCCAAGACCUAUGGCAGAGUAACUGCAGUCUCAGAUAUUUGAAGGCUUGGAAGAAGAUGAUUUCAGUUUUGGAAGCGACACAUUCCAGCCAAGGAAGAGUGUUAAGAAACUGACAAUUAAAAAGGUCCUCUCCUGUUGCAUACCAUGAACAGAAGACAGGAGGCUGAUGUUCCAGAAACUGAGAAUAUCAUCAGAAGUAAAGGCAUCUCUGAUCAGAUGGAUACACCAGAUAGAAGAGUCCUGAGAAGUUGAAGGCAAUGACAAGAUAAGAUAAGAAGAGAAUUCUCUUAAAGCCAGUGCCAUGUUUAUUGACAGGGUAUUGGGUGUUUGAGUAUAUUGCUGUACUAUUUUGAAGAUGUGUUUAUUACUUUUACUGAUGUACAUUUCUGUUAGAAAUCUCACUAAGGGUAUUACUUUAACUACUUGUAGCCUUCUAUAUUCCUCUAAAGUUACUAAAAUUACACAAUAACUAAGCUGGCUUACAAAAGAAGGUUAUAUCCUUGAGUUGGCUUAUGCCUGAAACAAUGACCCAAUCUUCCUUCACCACUAUCAAAAAUGGAAUGUUGCUAUAUGACCUAAAACAUGUCAGUGAUUGAACACAACAAAAAAAAAAACCCAAAACAAAUAAACUAACUUUCUUUUUUUGGUCAAGAGGGAGAGCAACCAAAAAUUUAUACUAUGCAAGUCUGACUUAUGAUUUGUGUUUUACAAAACAUUUUUUCUCUCUCAACCUUAGUGUGUUUGGACAAGUUGUCAAAGGGAAAUGUAUCAUUCGGAGUUCAAGUUUAAAAAUUAAAGAACUUCUGAAUCGCCAUUAAGUUCUGCAAAAAUACUGAACUGGUAGAUGUACAUAUGACUUAGAAAUAGACAGGUUUCUAAAGUUUUUAAGAAUCCCUCUUUAGUAUGGUUAAGAACUGAUAUUUGCUC